Molecule: transfer RNA, 78 nt
Filed under: Podarcis lilfordi (Lilford's wall lizard)
Lineage: Eukaryota; Metazoa; Chordata; Lepidosauria; Squamata; Lacertidae
Description: tRNA.Ala
Rfam family: tRNA (bases 8-64)
About the family: Transfer RNA (tRNA) molecules are approximately 80 nucleotides in length. Their secondary structure includes four short double-helical elements and three loops (D, anti-codon, and T loops).
Source: RNAcentral
UCAACUCUAGCUCAGUGGUAGAGCAUCUGCUUUGCAUGCAGACAGUCCCAGGUUCAAUCCCCAGUGUCUCUAGCUAAA